This is a long non-coding RNA of Suricata suricatta (meerkat), 1814 nucleotides long. RefSeq lists it as uncharacterized. The record is from RefSeq and is a predicted model, not a curated record. Lineage: Eukaryota; Metazoa; Chordata; Mammalia; Carnivora; Herpestidae. The transcript is spliced from 2 exons.
CGGGGUGCCUCUCUGGGCUUUGGUGGGAAUAGGGCUGGAGGAGUGGGAGGGGGUCUCCCCGAGUUCCAUGGAUGGGGAGGUGUCACGGUGGUUCAAGGUCUUGACAUGUCAACCAAUGAGUGGAGGCAAGCCCUUCCAUUGAGCAUAGAUGGCGUUGGGGCCCCAAAGGGUAGCCCCGGCUUGGUGGCGAUUGGGGUCCCCUCCCCUCCCUCUUGGCUCCUCCUGGCCCAAGAGAGAGGACCUCAUUCAAGGUUGCUCAGGAAGGGGGCCAGGUGUGGGAGAUUCCUGGAGGGAAUUCUAGUCCCGUGCCCCCGCUUCCGUGCAGCCGCUUGCCCUUGGGCUGCAAGGGGGGUGGAAGGGCUCCGACUAAAUCCUGAACCUUGUAUUCUAGCCCCACACUGACCUCUGCCCCCUGCACUGGACCAGAGCCCCCAGCCCUCCACUGACUUGCCUAUUCAGCCCUGCCAGGCCUAGCCAGGCCCAGCGGCCUCCCGAAUUCCUUGAAGGUGCAGCUGGCUCUCUGUCACCCGCCUCCUUCCGACCCCCGGCCCUCGCCAGCUGCCCGCUCAUGAUGAUGAGUGCUGUGUGAGGGUGCCAACCGCUGCCCCCCUGGCGCCCCCCCUACCCCUGUGCCAUGGCCGGCUGGGGUUCCUGGGGAUGGGAUUUGCUGCCUGUCACAAAUCACAUUGCCAGGGAUUUCCAACCGACCCUGAGCCCUGCCUCUGGGGCUGCCGCCACCGCCUUCACUGCUGAGGACACUGCCCGGGGACGGGCACGGGGAUGGGCAGCCAAGAGGCCCCUGCCGCCUGCGCCUGGCCUGGGGAGCAGGGCUUAGCUGCUGUGAGCAGUGCACACCCAGGCGUGUUCACAGUGGCUAAGUUCCGCCCCCCGGGACCCCGCCUCCUCUGGCCCCGCUGCGCCUGCGCCUGUCCGUCUGUCCGCACUGUGCGGGCCUCCCUGGGCUCUGCCUCCCGUGCCUACUGAGCUGAAACACAGUUCAUUUGUGCAGACUGGCUCAGUUCAGCAGGAACAGGAGUCGAGUCCCCUCGGAGCCAGUGCGGGCUGAUGCCUGGGGGUAAAACUGAGGACUGAGACCCAGACCCCGGACCCAUGUCAGGAGGAGGGACUCUGGGGAGGGGGAAAUGUAGCCUGGAAUGGGGUGGGUGGACCUAGCCAUCUGCUUUAGGCCCCCUCCCCCAACUCUGUGCUUGGGGAUCCCGCCCCCUGCACAGUCCUCCUUCUGGCUGGGGCUGGAACAGACUCCUAGGGAGAAUGGGCAGGUGGGUAGGCCGCCCCCCCCCCCCCCGUUAAAAAGGGAAGCCAUUUGGGACCCCAUCCCUCCAGUGUCCCUCCCAGCCUGGAGCCUUGGCCUUUUCUCUCCCAGGCCUGUACCUUCCCAGCAGUCAGUUACCCAAGAGGAAGCCGCCCUGGGCCCCCUGACCGUUAAAUGCCAACUCCGGCUUCCGGAACCAGGCUGGCCUGACUGUGCCUGGCCUCUUCUCUCUGAGUCCUAACUUGGGGGGGUGGGGGUGGGGAGAGCUGUGACACUCUCGGAGCACGUGGCACAGGGAGCAAGGUCCCUUUGGGCCUGGAAAGGACACAGUGGGCCUGUUCAGACCUGAGAGUCUGUCCAGUAUCAGAUGGGAUGGGCUUUUUUUGGAGUGAGAGCGGGUGAGCAGAGAGAAGCCUUUUAGGCCGUCGGGGCUGGCCCGGGGCACCCCUUCACACUGAGGUAGGGGCAGGCAUAAGCUUGGGGCAGGGUCUGUGCUGUGUAUUGCUAUUGUCUAAAUAAAAGCUGCCUCCUUAUUCCUGAA